Molecule: long non-coding RNA, 1113 nt
Filed under: Canis lupus familiaris (dog)
Lineage: Eukaryota; Metazoa; Chordata; Mammalia; Carnivora; Canidae
Description: lncRNA (ENSCAFG00000058320.1)
Source: RNAcentral
GGAGCGGAAGGGGUGGAGCCGCAGACACGUGAGGGUCGGUUUCGAGGCCUCAUUGGCUGGUCUCUAGGGCGGAAGGAGGGGGGCCGCCCGGGCGGGUCUCACCUGCGGUGUCUGGGUGGCCCGAGCCCUGGCGGAGGUGGCAGGUGGCGGGAGAGCGCGGUGGGAGCGCAGGUGCCCUGGGGGUCCGACCGGCCUGGUCGGCUCGGCGUAGUGUGGGGGUGAAGCGCAGGGCCCGGAGGGCCGCAGGUGCUGGUGGGCAUUGCUCAGUGAGCUCAGGGGCCGCCUGCAGGAAGCUGACCCUCGGGAGGUGCGCACCUGCCCACGGGGGUGGCGGUGGCUGCUGAGCAGGGAGCCCUGGCGGGGCCUGCAGACGAGGGAGCGCCCCUGGCUCAGGUGGGCCGGUGGGCGAGGCCCGUCCGGAAGGUGCGCAGCUGCGGCUGGGAUUCGGGAUGAGCCUGGCACCCACCGGGUUCGCCCCCGGGCAGAGUAGGAGACGCGGCUAGACGUGGCCAGGCCGUGCGCAGCUGUGCAGCCCGGGCCCUCGGCGCCUGGCCCGGCCGUCCGCCCUACCUGGGGGCCUCCUGCGCAUGGGCUGCCCGCCGCUGGGAAACGGGGUGAAGGCAGCCUCGGGGGCGACCGCUUGGGCUUCACCAGAAGCAACACCGGAUUCCAGGCAAAAGUUUCAUGGAAGGCAAGGGUGUGGAAAGGCCUGCCUCUUAGGGAUGGAUUCGUGAGGAGGUCAGGGCUGGGCUGGGAGGCCCGGGGCGCCCUGCACAGCAGGAGAGGUGUGUGAGCCCAUCCCCCGGGGCCCUGCUGGAUGCUGGUGUCCAAGACGACCUGGACCUAUCGAGGAGGGAGGCCUGGGCUUCCGCCAGCCGGCCUUUCAAGAGUGGUGUGGAGCAGAGCCUCUAUUGGGUGAAGCCGUGAAGGUGUCAGGAUUUGUGUGUUCUGGCUGUGGCCUUCACGAGUUACAGAUCUGGAAACCCGGCGGGGACAAGAAGCUUAUUUGGAGGCUUGAUGGGUGGUCACCUUGGUUUAACAUUUUGGUUUCUCCUCUUAUUUGAACCAAGAACAAUCCAAUUAAAAAAACAAAAAAACAAAAAACAAAAAAAA